Molecule: ribosomal RNA, 529 nt
Filed under: uncultured eukaryote
Lineage: Eukaryota
Description: bacterial SSU rRNA
Rfam family: Eukaryotic small subunit ribosomal RNA
Source: RNAcentral
CGCAAGGCCGAAACUUAAAGGAAUUGACGGAAGGCACCACCAGGAGUGGAAUCUGCGGCUUAAUUUGACUCAACGCGGGAAAACUCACCAGGUCAGGACACGGUAAGGAUUGACGGACUGAAGGCUCUUUCUCGAUUCCGUGGAAAGUGGUGCAUGGCCGUUUUGGUUGGUGGAUCGAUCCGUCUGGUUAAUUCCGUUAACGAACGAGACCUCGGCACUCCGAAUAGCGCGGCGGACGUCGCGGCCUCCGGGCCGUCUUCCGCACGAGCUUCUUAGAGGGACCGUCCCCCGCCGGGGAAGGAGGUGCGAGGCAACGACAGGUCUGUGAUGCCCUUAGAUGUUCUGGGCCGCACGCGCAUUACACUGACGCGUCCAACGGGUGACUCCCGACCCGAAGGGGCCGGGGAAUCCGCAAGGCGCGUCGUGAUGGGGAUUGAACGUUGCAAUUGUUGUUCACGAACGAGGAAUUCCUAGUAGGCGCGGGUCAUCAACCCCGCGCCGAUUACGUCCCUGCCCUUUGUACACACCG